AAACGACUCUCGGCAACGGAUAUCUCGGCUCACGCAUCGAUGAAGAACGUAGCAAAAUGCGAUACUUGGUGUGAAUUGCAGAAUCCCGUGAACCAUCGAGUUUUUGAACGCAAGUUGCGCCCGAAGCCUUUUGGCCAAGGGCA
Molecule: ribosomal RNA, 143 nt
Filed under: Centropappus brunonis
Lineage: Eukaryota; Viridiplantae; Streptophyta; Magnoliopsida; Asterales; Asteraceae
Description: 5.8S ribosomal RNA
Rfam family: 5.8S ribosomal RNA
About the family: 5.8S ribosomal RNA (5.8S rRNA) is a component of the large subunit of the eukaryotic ribosome. It is transcribed by RNA polymerase I as part of the 45S precursor that also contains 18S and 28S rRNA.
Source: RNAcentral